CCUACGGGGGGCAGCAGUGAGGAAUAUUGGUCAAUGGCCGGAAGGCUGAACCAGCCAUGCCGCGUGAAGGUCAGUGCCCUAUGGGCGUUAAACUUCUUUUGUGCGGGAGCAAUAAUGGUCACGUGUGGCCAGACGAGAGUACCGUACGAAUAAGCAUCGGCUAACCCCGUGCCAGCAGCCGCGGUAAUACGGGGGAUGCAAGCGUUAUCGGGAUUUAUUGGGUUUAAAGGGUGCGUAGGCUGGGAGGUAAGUCAGCGGUGAAAUGCCCCCGCUCAACGGGGUGAAGUGCAAUUGAUACUGCCUGGCUGGAAUGCGGAUGCGGUGGGAGGAAUGUGUGGUGUAGCGGUGAAAUGCAUAGAUAUCACACAGAACACCGAUUGCGAAGGCAUCUCACGAAUCCGCGAUUGACGCUGAUGCACGAAAGCGUGGGUAUCAAACAGGAUGAGAUACCCCAGUAGUC
RNAcentral lists this ribosomal RNA (460 nucleotides) under uncultured bacterium. Its description in RNAcentral is "partial 16S ribosomal RNA". It matches the Rfam family "Bacterial small subunit ribosomal RNA", at positions 338 to 795 of the family's 1533-position model. The record is from RNAcentral.